GCCGGGCGUAGUGGUACACGCCUUUAAUCCCAGCACUUGGGAGGCAGAGGCAGGCGGAUCUCUGUGAGUUCAAGGCCAGCCUGGUCUACAUAGUGAGUUCCAGGCCAGCUGGGCCUACAGGGAGACCCUGUCUCAAAAAGACAAAAAAAAAAAAAAAGAAAACGACUCCCUGUACCCCUAGCUGGCCUGGAACUUACAGUGUAGACCAGGUUGGCCUGGAAUUUGGAGAUCCACCUGCUUCU
This 242-nucleotide small RNA is filed under the name Nannospalax galili (Upper Galilee mountains blind mole rat). RNAcentral describes it as "Metazoan signal recognition particle RNA (ENSNGAG00000008426.1)". Lineage: Eukaryota; Metazoa; Chordata; Mammalia; Rodentia; Spalacidae. The record is from RNAcentral.